GGCCUGGUCGCCAAGAAGUAAGGCAACUCUCUGCAAAAGAGUUAUACGUGGGUGCGAUUCCCACCCAGGCCUCCA
This 75-nucleotide transfer RNA is filed under the name Candidatus Nomurabacteria bacterium RIFCSPLOWO2_01_FULL_42_17. RNAcentral describes it as "tRNA-Cys". It matches the Rfam family "tRNA". Rfam says of the family: Transfer RNA (tRNA) molecules are approximately 80 nucleotides in length. Their secondary structure includes four short double-helical elements and three loops (D, anti-codon, and T loops). Further hydrogen bonds mediate the characteristic L-shaped molecular structure. tRNAs have two regions of fundamental functional importance: the anti-codon, which is responsible for specific mRNA codon recognition, and the 3' end, to which the tRNAs corresponding amino acid is attached (by aminoacyl-tRNA synthetases). tRNAs cope with the degeneracy of the genetic code in two manners: having more than one tRNA (with a specific anti-codon) for a particular amino acid; and 'wobble' base-pairing, i.e. permitting non-standard base-pairing at the 3rd anti-codon position. The record is from RNAcentral. Lineage: Bacteria; Candidatus Nomuraibacteriota.